AAGGAUCAUUAACGAGUUUUGAAAUGGGUUGUAGCUGGCCUUACGAAGGCAUGUGCACACCCUGCUCAUCCACUCUCAUACCCCUGUGCACCUAUUGUAGGCUUGGUCGGAAGACUGGUGUAACAUCCAGUUGGAAAGCCUUGCCUAUGUUUCAAUACAAACGCUUCAGUUUAAGAAUGUAACCUUUGCGUCUAACGCAUGAAAUACAACUUUCAGCAACGGAUCUCUUGGCUCUCGCAUCGAUGAAGAACGCAGCGAAAUGCGAUAAGUAAUGUGAAUUGCAGAAUUCAGUGAAUCAUCGAAUCUUUGAACGCACCUUGCACUCCUUGGUAUUCCGAGGAGUAUGCCUGUUUGAGUGUCAUGGUAUUCUCAACCUUCAAAGCUUUUGCGAUGAAGGCUUGGAUGUGGAGGUUGUGUUGGCGCAAGUCAACUCCUCUGAAAUGCAUUAGUGUGAAUCUUACGGAUCGCCUUCAGUGUGAUAAGUAUCUACGCUGUGGUGUUGAAGUAUAUAGGCAUUCAUGCUUCUAAUAGUCUCUUCACUGAGACAAUUACUUGACAAUCUGACCUCAAAUCAGGUAGAUAUCCCAUUCCC
RNAcentral lists this ribosomal RNA (592 nucleotides) under fungal sp. TP2. RNAcentral's name for it is "eukaryotic LSU rRNA". The stretch from base 208 to 361 matches the Rfam family "5.8S ribosomal RNA". Lineage: Eukaryota; Fungi. The record is from RNAcentral.